Molecule: ribosomal RNA, 484 nt
Filed under: uncultured bacterium
Lineage: Bacteria
Description: partial 16S ribosomal RNA
Rfam family: Bacterial small subunit ribosomal RNA
Source: RNAcentral
AUUGAACGCUGGCGGCAGGCCUAACACAUGCAAGUCGAGCGGAUGAAGGGAGCUUGCUCCUGGAUUCAGCGGCGGACGGGUGAGUAAUGCCUAGGAAUCUGCCUGGUAGUGGGGGAUAACGUCCGGAAACGGGCGCUAAUACCGCAUACGUCCUGAGGGAGAAAGUGGGGGAUCUUCGGACCUCACGCUAUCAGAUGAGCCUAGGUCGGAUUAGCUAGUUGGUGGGGUAAAGGCCUACCAAGGCGACGAUCCGUAACUGGUCUGAGAGGAUGAUCAGUCACAUGGGAAUUGAGACACGGCCCGGCCUCCGCCGGGGGGAAGCAGGGGGAAAUUUGGGAGAAGGGCCGAAAGCAGAACCCACCCAUGCGGGGGGGGGGAAGACGGUCUGCGGAUUGUAAACCCUUUUAAUUGGGGAGAAAGGGAAGUAAUUAAAUCCCUUGCUGUUUGGACGUUACAAAAAAAAAAAGCACGGCCAAACUUCGGC